CCUGUGCUCCAACAGAAGAAUUAAAACCUCACAUAACUGUUGUCACAACCGGGACAUAUACAAUGGAUAUUGUGGCCCAGAAACAUUAUUAUACGAGUUACAGUGAAACACAGAAAAAAUACAUCUGGAAGAUUUCAGUCUGACAACACCUGCAAACAGAUUGUUUCUGAUGGAAA
Molecule: long non-coding RNA, 176 nt
Organism: Nematolebias whitei (Rio pearlfish)
Lineage: Eukaryota; Metazoa; Chordata; Actinopteri; Cyprinodontiformes; Rivulidae
Exons: 3
Source: RefSeq, a predicted model, not a curated record